CCAUCCCCAGUGAGGAAUAUUGGUCAAUGGGCGCGAGCCUGAACCAGCCAUCCCGCGUGCAGGAAGACGGCCCUAUGGGUUGUAAACUGCUUUUGUGCAGGAAGAAUGUGCCCAUCGUGAUGGGUAGUGACGGUACUGCAUGAAUAAGCACCGGCUAACUCCGUGCCAGCAGCCGCGGUAAUACGGAGGGUGCRAGCGUUAUCCGGAUUUAUUGGGUUUAAAGGGUGCGUAGGCGGUAAAAUAAGUCAGUGGUGAAAAGCUGCAGCUCAACUGUAGUCCUGCCAUYGAAACUGUUUKACUUGAGUAACCRUGAGGUAGGCGGAAUGUGUAGUGUAGCGGUGAAAUGCUUAGAUAUUACACAGAACACCGAUYGCGUAGGCAGCUUACUAGAGGUUCACUGACGCUGAUGCACGAAAGCGUGGGGAUCAAACAGGAUUAGAUACCCUGGUAGUCCAGCGCCGUAAAGCGAUGAUAACUCGCUGUUGGCGAUACACAGUCAGCGGCKYAGCGAA
This 512-nucleotide ribosomal RNA is filed under the name uncultured bacterium. RNAcentral describes it as "bacterial SSU rRNA". It matches the Rfam family "Bacterial small subunit ribosomal RNA", at positions 345 to 855 of the family's 1533-position model. The record is from RNAcentral.